AGAUUGAACGCUGGCGGAAUGCUUUACACAUGCAAGUCGAGCGGCAGCGCGGGGCAACCUGGCGGCGAGCGGCGAACGGGUGAGUAAUACAUCGGAACAUGUCCAUUUGUGGGGGAUAGCCCGGCGAAAGCCGGAUUAAUACCGCAUACGCCCUACGGGGGAAAGCGGGGGACUUCGCAAGAGGCCUCGCGCGAAUGGGUUGGCCGAUGUCCGAUUAGCUAGUUGGUGGGGUAAAGGCUUACCAAGGCGAUGAUCGGUAGCUGGUCUGAGAGGAUGAUCAGCCACACUGGGACUGAGACACGGCCCAGACUCCUACGGGAGGCAGCAGUGGGAAUUUGGACAAUGGGGGCAACCCUGAUCCAGCCAUUCCGCGUGAGUGAAGAGGCCGUUCGGGUUGUAAGCUUCUUUGUCCGGAACGGUAAACGGUAACGUGAAUAUCGCUGCCUACUGACGGACCGAAGAAUAAGCGACCGCUAACUACGUCGCAGCAGCCGCGUAA
RNAcentral lists this ribosomal RNA (499 nucleotides) under uncultured soil bacterium. Its description in RNAcentral is "bacterial SSU rRNA". It matches the Rfam family "Bacterial small subunit ribosomal RNA", at positions 26 to 522 of the family's 1533-position model. The record is from RNAcentral.